RNAcentral lists this ribosomal RNA (266 nucleotides) under uncultured bacterium. RNAcentral describes it as "partial 16S ribosomal RNA". The record is from RNAcentral.
CUGCUGCCUUCCGUAGGAGUUUGGACCGUGUCUCAGUUCCAAUGUGGGGGACCUUCCUCUCAGAACCCCUAUCCAUCGAUGCCUUGGUGGGCCGUUACCCCGCCAACAAGCUAAUGGAACGCAUCCCCAUCGAUGACCGAAAUUCUUUAAUAGUUCUACCAUGCGGAAGAACUAUGCCAUCGGGUAUUAAUCUUUCUUUCGAAAGGCUAUCCCCGAGUCAUCGGCAGGUUGGAUACGUGUUACUCACCCGUGCGCCGGUCGCCAUA